UCUAUUCAAUUUAGUCCAUGUCUCAGAAUGUCAAUCUCGAACAUAAUAAUUCAGUUCAAAUAGCCAUUGAGAACUCAUCUCAAUGUUAUAUCAUGCAAAACAUCAUAAAUAUCCAAUAAUUAAAUUGAUCCCGAGUCAUAGAAAUACAAAUCGGGUCUCGUGUCAUUCCUCAACAACUCUCGCUUUUGCUUUCCCUUUCGAUAGCCCAGCGUUGACAUUAGCUACGUACAAUCAUAUAACAUAUAUCAAUAUAAAAUUCCAGCCAAUUCACAAACAAUUAUUAAUUCAUGCAUAUUUUACAAUUUAUUCAAUUUAGUCCUUAAGCCCAAUAUAAGCAUAACUUUCAAUUCCUAGCUUUGGAUUGAAAUUCGAUUUCACAUAUUUUCAUCAAGGACCCUCUACUUCCUAUUCCUAUGGAAAUUUCAUAAUUUUUUAUAUUUUAUUCAAUUUGGUCCCCAAUGUACGAAAUAAAAAAUUAAGCUUUACAAUUUAAUCUUUUUUCAUAAAUUAAACUUAAUUUCUAUCAAUUUCACACAUAAUUCUUCAAGAAACCAACAAUGCAACUUUAUAAAAUUUUAACAGUUUCAAGAAAUUGGUACAUGGGAUAGCUAAAUUAAGCUCUCAUGAGUUCAAAUUCAUAAAAAUUACAAAAAAGAAAAAAAAAGACUUGAAUUCACAUACCAAUUUAAGGCUGUAUGUUACAAAAAUUUCUUAGGUUUUUCUUCUUUGGCAAAGACAAG
This 740-nucleotide long non-coding RNA is filed under the name Gossypium raimondii (Peruvian cotton). RNAcentral describes it as "long non-coding RNA (GRAI_LNC006878)". The record is from RNAcentral. Lineage: Eukaryota; Viridiplantae; Streptophyta; Magnoliopsida; Malvales; Malvaceae.